RNAcentral lists this ribosomal RNA (484 nucleotides) under uncultured bacterium. RNAcentral describes it as "partial 16S ribosomal RNA". It matches the Rfam family "Bacterial small subunit ribosomal RNA", at positions 30 to 507 of the family's 1533-position model. The record is from RNAcentral.
AUUGAACGCUGGCGGCAGGCCUAACACAUGCAAGUCGAGCGGAUGAAGGGAGCUUGCUCCUGGAUUCGGCGGCGGACGGGUGAGUAAUGCCUAGGAAUCUGCCUGGUAGUGGGGGAUAACGUCCGGAAACGGGCGCUAAUACCGCAUACGUCCCGAGGGAGAAAGUGGGGGAUCUUCGGACCUCACGCUAUCAGAUGAGCCUAGGUCGGAUUAGCUAGUUGGUGGGGUAAAGGCCUACCAAGGCGACGAUCCGUAACUGGUCUGAGAGGAUGAUCAGUCACACUGGAACUGAGACACGGUCCAGACUCCUACGGGAGGCAGCAGUGGGGAAUAUUGGACAAUGGGCGAAAGCCUGAUCCAGCCAUGCCGCGUGUGUGAAGAAGGUCUUCGGAUUGUAAAGCACUUUAAGUUGGGAGGAAGGGCAGUAAGUUAAUACCUUGCUGUUUUGACGUUACCAACAGAAUAAGCACCGGCUAACUUCGUG